Long non-coding RNA from Hippocampus zosterae (dwarf seahorse), 5315 nucleotides. RefSeq lists it as uncharacterized. The record is from RefSeq and is a predicted model, not a curated record. The transcript has 4 exons. Lineage: Eukaryota; Metazoa; Chordata; Actinopteri; Syngnathiformes; Syngnathidae.
GGAAGAAGCACCCGAAGAAGCGGCAUCGGUGGACUCACCUGUCAGGUGACUCCGGAUCGAAACAGGUCUUGAGAACAUCCGUCACUUGCGGUUGUAGCAAGGUGCCAGUCUGAGGCAGUCCCCUCCGUCGUGGCCUGUCCUCGGGUGGUCGCACUCCGGAUCGCAAUGGCGGUUCCCAAUUUUCCCGAUGCGACAGUUGCUGAGAACGAAACGCUGCCGCAGGCUCGUGUUUCUGACCGUUGCCACCGUCAGCUCGAGGGUGAUGUUGUAAGGGCGAAAGGCAUCAAUCAGAGCCUGAUGUUGCAGGCGAAUCUGGGCUUGGGACACCGUGGCGUUCCCGCCGUCGUCGUUGGAAAGGUGUGAGGCCGCAGGGUGGCGGCAAGAAGGGGGAGACCAGCUGCAAAGCGGGGAGAGGAGUGGCGAUGACGGCUGGAUGGAGGCCAUCUUUGAACGGAGUCCACAUCUGAUCCACCUUCAAGCAGGAAGGAAACGGCUUUGAAAUGGCAAUCGGCCGCAGAAGACCACUUGAGCGGCGUAUGACGCAGGUCGACGCCUACACGGACGGUUUUCAACGACAUGCCGACUUGGGUAAGCAAUGCUGAUUUUCAGGCCAGCGAUCGGGCGAAAUGCCCUCGAUAGGUUUUUGUGCGGCUGCUAUUUUUUAUUAUUUUUUUUAAAUCCUCUUGUACGUUGAAGCCUUCCGUGUACGUGUCGAGCCGACCGAUUAGUUCAGAGGUGUCAAACUCAUUUUUGCGGCAGGCCACUUUGGAGUGACGUCUUCCCUCGGAGGGCCCUUACGACAGUGAAACCGAAUCCAUGUUUAUUUGUCGCAUCGCACUACUUGUCCGCAACAAAUUACUAGUUUUGAAAUUUGCUUAAGUCAACUCUUUUCUUCCCCAAUGACAGACAAUGGUCUUUUAUGGUUGAAGAGAAAACCUCGUCACUGCUUCCCGGUGACGUGUCUUAAAAUCGGCGCUUGGUUUGUUAUUUGUUCAACUAUUGUUUAAAUGGAUGUAAACAGGGGAAGAAAACGAUGGCAAAAUCUCUGCGUUAUUUAUUCCACGUGACAAUUUGACAUUUCGGUCCAGAUUUUAGCAAGGAUCAUGCAAGUCGAGAGGGUGGAUUUUGCUUUCGCGGGCCGGAUCCGGGCCCCGGGCCUUGAGUUUGACAGCCGCGGAUGAGUAGGUUGGAGAGGCGGGAUCCGAGAUAGCUACAUUUGUAAAGUCAGCCCACAUGGCCAGAAGAGGCUCCGUCUUGAGGAGGGGUCGCAUCUGCAGGUCCUCAUGGGAGAGGGCGUAGUCCCACAAGUGCACACCCGCGACUUGGCCUCGGAAGCCCUGGCCCUGCUCUGAUUGGUUACUGCCCAGGAUGAAGGUUCUGCAGGUCUUCAUGAAGGGACUGUAGAGAUUGCCUGACUGGAAACUGCUUUCUCCCACCUGAGAGGGAAAUCAAUCAUUGUAGCCAGGACGACAAGACGGAAACAAUUUCGGUUGGCAUUGCUCUCCCAAAAUCAUUUGGAAUUUGACAAAAAUGCGGAUCACGGUCGAGCGGCGUUACUCGCUCCACCAAAUUAGAUGAAAGACUUGAUCUCACAGUGAACUUUUGUAUUCUCUGAACAAAAUAUUUGAAGUAGAACCUCCCACGAUGGUACUUGACCGGGAAUUUUAGGAAGAAUGGUUCCGAACUGCAGUCGUGAACGUGUGACGUGCAAUUUUAUUUUAUUUUCGUUUGUGUUGAUUUUAAUCCAAGUGGGAAUAACACAAACAAAUUUUCCAACUUUUUGGCGCAUUGUACACAAUUCCAACCAGGCUUAGCGUUUUAAGGACUGUCACUUUGGGAAAAUAUUACCAGAAAAGUUACAUGAAGGCAACAGUUAAACAAAAAAUGAUUUUACUUUUUUUUUUUUUACUUAAAAGUGAUAUCAAAGACCGAAGUGAAGCUGUUGCAAUCAUUUGCCAUGCCAAACCCACACACCUUGGCUCCGUCAACGUACAGGGUCAUGUUGUGGCUAUUGUAAGUGGCAAUCAGGUGAGCCCAGGUGUUGGCCGAGUACUGCUGGUGGGUAACGACAGUGGUAGCUUUCAAGGCUCGGUCUGUGCGAAGCGUGAAGUAGAAACGUGCGUCCUUGGUACCUGCGGGAUCCAGACUGCGAAUGCCUACUGACCAGCCCUUCUCGCUCUGUGAAUGGGAACAGUUGUCGUAAACACCUACAACGCAGAGGCAAAAAUGUGAAAUUGUUGCUUGCUGUGUGUAAAAUAGCAGAAACGUAUAUGGCGUGAUCGGGGGUAAACAAACAUUAUAAAAAUUUAAAUAAAAAGGCAUUUCCUGAGGCCCGCUGCAGAAUAACCAGCGCGGCUGGUGAUGGACCCUCGCCAGAGAGAAUAGACAGAACCACGGGGACAAAACAGAGAAGUAACGAGAGCAUUUCAGAGUGCCAAAGUAUGGCCUGCAUGUUUCCAUUUGCUCUUGCAACCGACAGUCAGCCUCGCGACGACAUCUGUAGCGCAGAUGUGAAACUGUGGGACAGGACAACCAAAGGUCAGGGAACCCCUUCUCUCUAACCACAACUCUCUGUGUGUGUGCGUGUGUGUAAACAAGGUAACAUUUGGGGGAAAAAAUAGCUUUAAGAAGUUAAAUGGCUUGAAUUAAAUCCAACCACGGUGGCUGGAAGGCCAUACGUUGCCAUUUCCACUACCCGAUGAAAAUUCCAAACCAUAGAAAUUGCCAAAUGAAGCAUUCAUGUUUGUACAUUACAUGUUGAUAUGAACCAAAAAAUGUGUGUCGUGCGCUGAUUUGGGAAUGGACGCCUGAAUUCUUAUCAGGACCAUCAUCAAAUGGUUGUUUGCACCCACUGGAAUGCUGCAGGGUUGAAAAAAAAUAAUCCUAAAGCAAGUAAAAAUUGUACAAUUCUAUAAGGCCACUUAUUUAUUUAUAGAUUUAUUUAUUUGCAUAUGUAUCAUUCUUAAAUGUUGUGUAUUAUCAAGACAAUUUUAAUCUUGAAUAGACAACCCAAGUAAAUCGAAAAUGUGGUUUCCAAAUUAUGAUUUAUUUUUUUAAAGGGAAUAAAAUCCAAACCUAUCUGGCCUUAAAUGGAAAAAAAUGGCGAGCUUUUCAAUAUGUGACGCCAAAUAACUAUUAUGCCCUUCCUGGACACUAGUUGACGCUGUGUAGCAUAAAAUGUUAUCCGCCCCUCACAAUAUAGGAAGAAGAAGAAUAGUCUCCCCGGCUCCAAUUCAGAGGAUUCAUUUCACACGUUUUUGACGUUUUAAAACAAAUGUCAGGUUGCUUUCUUCGUGAAACGCUGUUUAGAAUCAUUAUUACGUUCAUAUUGUUUUGGACAGACGUCAAUAGGCUUCCGUUGUGUUGCUGUAUAGCACCCUCCAGUGGUUUUGUACGUUUUCUACCUUGUGACCAAACAGCAAAUUGUGUGCACAAAACGUCUUUGUCUCUAAUCUAUACUUAAAUGUAUUUCAAUGUUUAGAGACUCUGAUUUGUGUUUUUUUUCAUGAAAUAAAUUAUUUGGCAUAUUCUUUGAACCUCCUGAAAUAGCCCCCCCCCCCCACCCCACCCUCGUCCUCCAAAGGAAAAAUCCUGCCAGUCGGCAGUUGAACAAUAACAUGAAACAUACCAGCAAGCCCUGAAUUGUUAAAUAAUUAUUUUUUAAAAAUAAAGGUUUGGGACAUGAAAUGAUGUAAUGUGGAUGAUAAAAGUCAAGUGAAAUUUUUUUUCAGAAGAUCGUCAAUCUUAAAUUCAAAGAGAUUCUUGUUGAUGAAUUGGAGUUCACACAACAAUUUGGCUACAACUGAUUGUUAUGCAGUAACCGUAACGGAUUGGGGAGACAUGAAGUCAUCGUGUUGCACAAUCUGUUGUUUCCAGGAGUUUGAAGUUCAGUAAAUCACAUUCAGUGUCUGGCCUAUUGCUCACUUUCAAGUGAAAAAAGGGCUCUAACUUUGAAAACACAAAUAUUUAUACGCUUAUGAACACACACACAUGAUCAUCCCGAAGCCACCUGCCACAGGUUGUUGCCUCUCCAAACCCUUUUUUUUUAAUCUGCUCACAGCCUUUCAGCAAACCACAUGGUAUGCCAUGUUUCCCUUGCAUAUUUUCACUGGAUGUCUGUGGUUGAUGCGUCAUUGGUUACCACAGGAACGUUAUUUUUGGUUGAAGCUCAAACUAUUUGUUUAUGGUAGGUUUUGAAAAUGUGCUGGAAGUAAAAUAAAACGGGGUACACACGCUGAUAAUCAGGCUGAAUUUGGACCCCCUCCGCCCCCCCCCCCCCACUUCUUUUCCACUCAAGUCAGCAAAGGGCCAUUUGAGAGAUGACUCGAGAAUAAAUAACUGCCUGGGAUGCUUCUGUGUGGGGUGUGCUGGUUGCAAUUUUAGCAAUGUUGCUGCAUACAAACAAAGGUGCGACAAAUUGUGUUAUUGGGCACAACGAAAAAAAGAGAACAGCUUGUCAAGCGAACAAUCUUCUUCAAUUACUGUACUUCUACUACUACGAGCUCUUUUUAUAUUGUUUGGCAGUCUGAACGACCAGGUUGCCAAUGGCAAAUUGAUCCGUUGCGGCAACGUCACGUGACGUAACGACGUGAGUGCACCGUGACGGAGUUCGGUUGACACCCUUGUUCUAUUCGGACAUCCGACUGCACAGCAAGCUAGGACCAUUUUCGAAGAUAAUGGCUUCUAGGGACAGAUACGGGACCGCACGCUUCACGGGUAUUUUGACGGUUAUUUUGUAUUUAUUUUGCCGGCCGUCAUAGCGGAAGGGGCGUUGCCACAAUGGCUGUGACGGAACGCGCAAAAGGUGAACUGACUGAACACACAAAUGUGCCAAAGGAGUGCGGAGAAACAAUGACAGUAGUUGACCGGGGCGCACGAUCCGCGUUGAUGGAAUGUAACCCAUUCAAAUCAUUUCCGUGUGUGACGAGAGAAAGUCUAAGAGCAAAAAAAUGAGCGAAUGUGACCCACCUGCAAUGACUGCAGGGCUGCUCUGCCCACCUUCCGGAUUCACCCAUAGCUCCAAGCUGAAUUUGUCCCUGGGCAGCUCUACCCCAGCAGACGGCUUCAGUCUCAGCUGCUCCUGGCGCCCGCUGAAGUACAGGCUGGUCAUCCAAGAUGGGGGCACCUUUGGCACGGGUUUCCCCCACUGAAACUUGCCGCCGAUAGACCUACGUGCGGAAUUCCGAGCCCGGUAGAAUCGGAGCUUCCGGGGGAGCUCGAGUUUCCCUCGUUUGGGGCGCCGCGUUCGAACCUGGAGGCGCGCGAUGGUCGACUCUGCCUGUCAGUCCAAGGUCGCGUGCCUCCAUCCUCGCGAG